GCAUAAUAUCUCUCUUUCUGUGCUGAUGAAUUGACCUCCCCGUUUGUUGGUUUUUGGAUGGUGUUUGAUAGAUAUCCACGGUAUUUACAUUUAAAAGCUUUCUUCAUUUUUUUUUAAUUUAUUAAUAUUUUUAUCAAUUUCUAUUCCAAACUUUCAAAUAAUAUCUGAAUGUUUGGUUUAAGUUUGUGCUAUAACAGGAUCCUUAGAUGUGUAUGACUCUCAGGUUCAAUUGUUCUUCAAUUCCCCUCUCUGACAGUUUUCUUUUUUGUCAAGGUGGCAGAAUAUCUCUCUUUCAGUGCUGAUGAAUUGACCCCCCUCUGAUGGUUUUUGGAUGGCGUUUGAUAGACGAUCAUCCACGGUAUUUAUAUUUAAAAACCUUCUUCCUUUUUUUUUAAUUUAUUAAUGUUUUUAUCAAUUUCUAUUCCAAACUUUCAAAUAAUAUCUAAAUGUUUGGUUUAAGUUUGUGCUAUAGCAGGAUCCUUAGAUGUGUAUGACUCUCAGGUUCAAUUGUUCUCCAAUUUCUCCUCUCUGACAGUUUUCUUUUUUGUCAAGGUGGCAGAAUAUCUCUCUUUCAGUGUUGAUGAAUUAACCCUCCUCUGAUGGUUUUUGGAUGGUGUUUAAUAGAUGAUCAUCCACGGUAUUUACAUUUAAAAGCUUUCUUCCUUUUUUUUUUAAUUUAUUAAUGUUUUUAUCAAUUUCUAUUCCAAACUUUCAAAUAAUAUCUGAAUGUUUGGUUUAAGUUUGUGCUAUAUAGCAGGAUCCUUAGAUGUGUAUGACUCUCAGGUUCAAUUGUUCUCCAAUUUUCCUCAUAUGACAGUUUUCUUCUUUGUCAAGGUGGCAGAAUAUCUCUCUUUCUGUGCUGAUGCUUUGUUAAUUUUUUGCUGUAUUAGUUUAGUCUCUGAACUUUGUCUUUUUGUUCUACUUUAAAAGUGAUUGAUUGCUUGCAAUUUUACCAAGUAGAAGAGCUCCUUGCUGCCCUCCCAUUCUCUCUUUUUUGCUUUUCUUGACUGAUACUUUAGAGGGUCAUUUUGCUAAAUUUCAAGUUUCAGAACUUCUCUCUUUCCCGGGCCCUGCAUCCCCCUCGCAUGUCUAUAUGAUUUUCUUUUCCUCUCAUCUUUGGUUGAUUUUUUCUUACUGUUUACUUUAACAGCCGUUUUCAUGGGAUGACAGACCAGUGUGACUUACCUCAUCUUCUAGUACUAGGCUACACGAUUAGAAUAUUUUCCCGCAUUGUUUAUCAAUAAUUUGAAUUCUUUUUCUCUUUCUGAUAUAUGCUCUAUGCAUGCACAAAGAAAGGGGAGAAUGGUUAGAUGUGUUGUUCCGAUAUUUGCUUUAGUUGUUUCUAUGACGUGAUUGGACUAUAAUUGACCGUGUACUACAUUUCAGUUGAUUGAGCAGACUGGAGUAAUUGAGGGCCCUUGAUUAUUUUACAGAGAUGUCCCUGCUGUUAUUACAACUUCUGUGGUCAAAUGGUAUCUCCAAGUUAUUUCCAGUCUAAAAAGUUUCUUUUGUGUUGCUAGAAUUUUGCACUUGGUAUUCUGCUGUGUUUUAUAUAAGUUAUUAUUGGUAUUUUCCUUCUUGUUCGUGGAAAACUUGUUGGGUGACGAUUUAUUAUCCCUUCUGUACAAGUCAUCCCCAGUUAUGUGCUUUUUACUAGUCUUUGAAAUUUGGAACAUUUUGGUUGCCUUAGGUAUAACUCAAGAUUUUUGUCCUGCCAGGUUUAUUAGCUUAGAUUUUGCAUCUGGUGUGGCUGAAAAGUUUGUUUGUUGCUGUCUGUAAGGCAAGCCUUUUGGUGUUUGUGUGUAUGGAAAAUGUUGUGUGUACCAUAAAUAUUCUGUGAUGGCCAGUAGAUAUGCUCCCAAAUUUCUUUCUCUGACAACUCUAGAUACUAGAUUGGAAUCUUUACUUUUCUGCAUUUUGAUGUUUUGUUCAGGUUUGUGCUAUAGCAAGAUCCUUGGAUGUCUAUGAAUCUUGGGUACAAUUGUUUUCCAGUUUCCCUUGCCUGACAGUUUUAUUCUUUGUCGUUUUAUUCUUUGUCAAUGUGGCAGAAUCUCUCUCUUUUUUGUGCCGGUGCUUGGUUAAUUUUAAAAUCUUUCUUCCUUUUUUUUAAAAAAUUUAUUAAUGUUUUGGUAGAAAAACAGAAGGAUUCACCGAAAUGAAAAAUAGGGUGAUGAAUUUUUUGAUAAAAAGGAAAGGAACAGGUAAUCAAUGAAGCAAAGGCAGAGCGACUUGAACCCCCUCUUGUUGUUUUUGGGUGUUCGAUAGGUGAUCAUUCAUGGUAUUUACAUUUAAAAGUUUCUUUCUUUUUUUUUUAAUUUAUUAAUUUUUUUUAUUAAUUUAUUUUACAAACUUUUAAAUAAUAUUGGAUUUUUUAUUAUUGACUUUAUAGUUUUUUUUUUUUUAAAUUAUUCUAUGAAAUUCUCUCUCUCUCUCUCUUUUGUUCUAUUUUCUGUUCCUUAAGAAAACAAUUCUUUUGGGUGCUUAUCAACAAGUGUUGAAUGGUUGAUUUUGUAUUUAUGGGAGAAAGCGGAAGGAUUCACCAAAAUUAAAAAUAGGGAGAUGAAUUUUUCGGAUGAAAGUGCUAGUGUGGAAAUCCGCAUUAAGGGGCCAUCCACGUGAUAGGAGAUCGGACGAUCCUGAUCCUCUCACGUGUGUCCUAUCAAAUGGUUGGAAUUCACUCCCCCCAUUCGCGAUCGAACGGUCGCUAUGGAAUCCCGCCCAAAAGUGAUGAACGGUUGGACUUCCCACACCCCAAGGUGAUCAAACGGCCUAGAUUGCUUAUCUAACGAUCAGGACUUUAGGAAAGAUCGAAAGACCAAAAUAGCCUUAAUGAAGCCCUUGAUCCAAUGAUCAAUAUUUGAGGAAUAACGAUUGGGCAGUCGAGAUUCACUUUCGGACAUGAAACGACGAAAGUUUCCUGGGACGAGCAGAAAGAUCAUGCGGUAGAGAUCUGACGGCCGUGGAGGGGCCAAUUUAAGGAGUCUUAUUAAGGCUCUUCAUCUCACUUGUGAGAGGUGAGGCUGUGGAAUAGCGAUCUCGCCGGUGAGAGGGGAUGGCCGAGAUCGCAUUGUGGCAUCUCGACAGAAAAGGAAUUCAAAUGAGAUUGCACGGUGGCGAUCUCGAACGGGAAGUGGGUAGAGGUAGAUCGCACGGUGGCGAUCUCCAUGAGAAAAGGAAUACAAGCAGCGGAAACCGCAAGCCAAGGAGCGGAGAAGAGUGAGCGGCUUGAGCUACAACUGAAAGAUGAAGAAGGUGUCGCAUGCGCACUGUUGCCGCUGCGUGCGAGUGUGGGAAUGGGCUUACGGGAAACCGCAAACCGGUCGUGUGCGUGCAAAAUCCGAGCGCCGUAGAUGCAUGUACGACUUGGGAAGGUUGGGAUGCGGUUUUGACCGCAUGAGCGUGAGGUGGCGAGGCCUAGUAUGCAGUGAGGCUGAGCAGCUUUGGCCAUGGAUGCAUCUACGACUUGGGAAGGUUGGGAUAUAGUUCCGACCGCAUGAGCGUGCGGGGGAUUGCGUGUGAAACUGGUGGUGUGCGUGCGAAAUUCGAGUGCGGGGUGAGGCUGAGCAGCUUCGGCUGUGGAUGCAUGUAUGACUUGGGAAGGUUGGGUUGCGGUUUCGACCGCCCGAGCGGGUUUGGCCGUGGAUGCAUGUACGACUUGGGAAGGUUGGGAUGCGGUUCCGACCGCAUGAGCAUGUGGUGGUGAGGCCGAGUGCCUGCGAUGCGCGAAUGGUUCUAGUGUCGCCAUGGAUGGGUGAGUGUGGGUCGGGGAAGCGGAGAAUCGAACUAGACCGGUGGCGAGGUGGAGUGAACGCCGCUACCCAAGCCCUCUUGCCGCCGCUUGCGGCAAUUUUUCUCUCAUGUUUUUCCGCUUGAACCGAUUGGUUCUAACCGGUUUUGUUUGUGGUCUUGAACUGAACCAGUUCACCCUCCAUCCCCUGAACUAUAUGGAUGUUACCCAAAGCUCCGAUCCGUGGUAAGCACAUAAAUUUUUCUUUCACUCUCUCUUUUGUUCUAUUAUUUAUCCCUUAAAAUUUUUUUUUGUUUGGGUUCUUAUCAACAAUUGUUGAAUAGUUGAUUUUGUGCUUAUGGGGGGGGGAAACAAAGGGAUCCACAUAAAUGAAAAAUAGGGUGAUGAAUUUUUUUAUGAAAAAGAAAGAAACAGGUAACCAAGGAAGCCAAGGCAGCCCGAGUUGACCCCCUCUUGUGGUUUUUGGAUGACGUUUGAUAGGUGAUCGUUCAUGGUAUUUACAUUUAAAAGCUUCCUUCUUUUUUUAAUUUAUUAAUUUUCUUUCGUCAAUUUCUAUUACAAACUUUCAAUUAAUAUAUAAUUUUUUACUAUUAAUCUCGUAGUUCAUGGUAUUUACAUUUAAAAGCUUCCUUCUUUUUUUUAAUUUAUUAAUUUUUUUUGUCAAUUUCUAUUACAAACUUUCAAUUAAUAUAUAAUUUUUUACUAUUAAUCUCGUAGUCUAUUUUUUUUAAAUUAUUAUUUUGUCAAAUUUUUUAUUUCUCUUAUGUUCUAUUUUUUGCCCCUUAAAAAGAACACUUUUUUUGGGUACUUAUCAACAAUUAUCGAAUGAUUGAUUUUGUGUUUAUGGGGGAAAAACAGAAGGAUUCACAAAUAAAAAAUAGGGGGAUGAAUUUUUUGCUGAAAAGGAAAGGAACAGGUAAUCAAUAAAGCAAAGGCAAACCGACUUGACCCCCUCUUGUUGUUUUUGGAUGGUAUUUGAUAGGUGAUCAUCCAUGGUUUACAUUUAAAAGCUUCAUUCCUUUUUUUUAUCAAUUUCUUUUACAAACUUUUAAAUAAUAUCUGAUUUUUUAUUAUUAACUUCAUAGUUCUUUUUUUUUUCAAAUAAAAAUUAUUACUCUGUCAAAUUCUCUCUCUCUCGGUCUAUUUUUUUUGCCUUUAGAAGAAAUUUUUUUAGGUACUUAUCAACAAUUGUUGAAUGGUUGAUUUUGUUUUUAUGGGGGGAAGCAAAGGCAGCCCGACUUGACUCCUCUCUGGUGGUCUUUGGAUGACGAUAGACGGUCAUCCAUGAUAUUUACAUUUAUAGCUUCCUUUUAUUGUUUUUAAAUUUAUUAAUUUUUUCUUUCUCAAUUUGUAUUAUAAAUUUUCAUAUAAUAUUUGAUUUUUUAUUAUUGAUUUCGUAGUUGUUUUUUGAAAUAUUAUUGUUUGGUUAAAAAUUUUCUUUUAAAUGAUAUUUUUGUAAAAAAUAUAAAUAUAAACAACUUUUUUUUUUCACAUAUUCAUUCUAUUCAUAUUUUAUUUUUAAAUAUCAAAUUUUUUAUCAAACGUAGGUGGGGUCAAAAAGACGCAUAUUAGCUUGUCAUAAAAGCGCCUCAGCUCGUUAAAAAGACUUUCAGAAACUUCUACUUCUCUCUAAGUCUCUCCACUUUCGCUUUUUUCGGGUAUACUUCUUUCUGCCACUGAUUACAUAUGCUUGAUUAGGUUUUUUGAAAGUUUUUCAUUUUGCUUUUGUUCAAUUUUUUUAUAAAAAGUUGUUAUUAAUUGUAUAAAUAUCCAGAGAUCUCUAUUCAGAGAUGCCUCUAUUUAGUGGUGCAAUUUUUACUACCUUCCCUCUUAGGUUUCAAGUUAUGUUAAGAUUUUGCUUGCAAAAUGUUUACACAGUUUAGGUAUUAUGUUUUUUUUUUCUUUCUUUCAUUCGUGUUGAUUAAUAUGGUUAAAUUCUGUUGAUUGGUUCAUUGGUGUCUUAAUUGUAGGAUGUAAGAUUCGGCGAGUUCCCGAUCAUCAUGUUGCUCGUGGUUUAUGCUAUCUUCAUCUCUCUUGUGUUUUAUUUUCUGACUCUCAAGAAAAAAUUUUCUUUUUGGGUUCUUAUUAACAAUUGAUGGAUGACUAAUUUUUUUUUGGAUUUGUUUUAGGAGGUAUUCGCCAACCCUGCACGUGAUGAACGCUUGAUCUUUUGAGCUAUUUAGAUCUCAGGCAUGAUUUUGGGGAUAAUGGAAGUGCCACCUGGUUUCUUCAGGAUCUUGCCACUUAGCAAGGUGCUGAAGGAUGCAGGGUAACAUUCAAAUACCAAGAAUGGGGACAUCAUGUUUUAGAAUGCAGACCAGUGUGACUUACCUCAUCUUCUAGUACUAGGCCACACAAUUAGAAUACUUUCCCGUAUUGUUUAUCAAUAAUUUGAAUUCUUU
This 6150-nucleotide long non-coding RNA is filed under the name Carica papaya (papaya). RNAcentral describes it as "long non-coding RNA (CPAP_LNC008639)". The record is from RNAcentral. Lineage: Eukaryota; Viridiplantae; Streptophyta; Magnoliopsida; Brassicales; Caricaceae.